AACAGAGAGAAGCUUGCUUCUUUGCUGACGAGUGGCGGACGGGUGAGUAACGCGUGGGAAUCUACCCAGUAGUUGGGGAUAGCCCGGAGAAAUCCGGAUUAAUACCGAAUAAGGUCUACGGACGAAAAGGUGCCUCUUCAUGAAAGCACUUGCUAUUGGAUGAGCCCGCGUUAGAUUAGUUUGUUGGUGGGGUAACGGCCUACCAAGACUGCGAUCUAUAGCUGGUUUGAGAGGAUGAUCAGCCACAUUGGGACUGAGACACGGCCCAGACUCCUACGGGAGGCAGCAGUGGGGAAUAUUGGACAAUGGGCGCAAGCCUGAUCCAGCAAUACCGCGUGUGUGAAGAAGGCCUUAGGGUUGUAAAGCACUUUUAUGUAGGAAGAAGGUAUGUAAGUUAAUAGCUUAUGUAAUUGACGGUACUACAAGAAUAAGCACCGGCUAACUCCGUGCCAGCAGCCGCGGUAAUACGGAGGGUGCGAGCGUUAAUCGGAAUUACUGGGCGUAAAGGGUACGUAGGCGGCUUAAUAAGUCAGAUGUGAAAUCCCCGGGCUUAACCUGGGAACUGCAUUUGAAACUGUUUAGCUAGAGUGAGUGAGAGGUUAGUGGAAUUCAAGGCGUAGCGGUGAAAUGCGUAGAGGUCUUGAGGAACAUCAGUGGCGAAGGCGACUAACUGGCACUACACUGACGCUGAGGUACGAAAGCGUGGGGAGCGAACAGGAUUAGAUACCCUGGUAGUCCACGCCCUAAACGAUGAGGACUGGCUGUCGGCGCUAUAGACGCGUCGGUAGCGAAGCUAACGCGUUAAGUUCUCCGCCUGGGGAGUACGACCGCAAGGUUGAAACUCAAAGGAAUUGGCGGGGGCCCGCACAAGCGGUGGAGCAUGUGGUUUAAUUCGAUGCAACGCGAA
This 907-nucleotide ribosomal RNA is filed under the name uncultured bacterium. Its description in RNAcentral is "bacterial SSU rRNA". It matches the Rfam family "Bacterial small subunit ribosomal RNA", at positions 65 to 965 of the family's 1533-position model. The record is from RNAcentral.